UACGUAGGGCGCAAGCGUUGUCCGGAAUUAUUGGGCGUAAAGAGCUCGUAGGCGGCUUGUCACGUCGGGUGUGAAAGCCCGGGGCUCAACUCCGGAUCUGCGGUGGGUACGGGCAGACUAGAGUGAUGUAGGGGAGACUGGAAUUCCUGGUGUAGCGGUGAAAUGCGCAGAUAUCAGGAGGAACACCGAUGGCGAAGGCAGGUCUCUGGGCAUUAACUGACGCUGAGGAGCGAAAGCAUGGGGAGCGAACAGG
Molecule: ribosomal RNA, 253 nt
Filed under: uncultured bacterium
Lineage: Bacteria
Description: partial 16S ribosomal RNA
Rfam family: Bacterial small subunit ribosomal RNA
Source: RNAcentral